GGAAGAAUAGCCCAGUUGUUAGGGAACUAGCCUGGGACUUUGAAAACCCAGGUUCAAAUCCCUGUUCUGCCA
RNAcentral lists this transfer RNA (72 nucleotides) under Chelonia mydas (Green sea turtle). It matches the Rfam family "tRNA". From Rfam's summary of the family: Transfer RNA (tRNA) molecules are approximately 80 nucleotides in length. Their secondary structure includes four short double-helical elements and three loops (D, anti-codon, and T loops). Lineage: Eukaryota; Metazoa; Chordata; Testudines; Cheloniidae. The record is from Rfam by way of RNAcentral.